This 330-nucleotide ribosomal RNA is filed under the name Mesalina guttulata. RNAcentral's name for it is "partial 16S ribosomal RNA". It matches the Rfam family "Bacterial large subunit ribosomal RNA", at positions 2008 to 2546 of the family's 2925-position model. Lineage: Eukaryota; Metazoa; Chordata; Lepidosauria; Squamata; Lacertidae. The record is from RNAcentral.
AGAUUAUACUGUCUCUUGUAGCUAACCAAUGAAACUGAUCUUGUAGUUCAAAAGCUACAAUAUAACCACCAGACGAGAAGACCCUGUGGAGCUUUAAACCAAAACCAAAUUAAUGGCCCCCUGGUUUUUAGUUGGGGCAACUUCGGAGUACACAACAACCUCCGAUAAAAAAAGUUAAGACAGACAGGUCUAAACAACUUGCUCGACCCAAUACUCUACUUUAGAUUAUUUGACCAAUGAACCAAGUUACCCCAGGGAUAACAGCGCUAUCCCCUUUUAGAGUCCCUAUCGACAAGGGGGCUUACGACCUCGAUGUUGGAUCAGGACACC